Non-coding RNA from Phoenix dactylifera (date palm), 381 nucleotides. Lineage: Eukaryota; Viridiplantae; Streptophyta; Magnoliopsida; Arecales; Arecaceae. The record is from RefSeq and is a predicted model, not a curated record.
GUUUAAAUUAUGUUUCUUAAUUAAUUAAAUAAUUAAUAUUUAUGUUUAAUCAGGGGUUCGUGAUAUCUGUGGCAGGGAUCUUUUAAGCGAACCCAGGUGAUGACAUGUGAUUAUAGGGAUUAUGGGACGGAGUGAUCAUGAUGUAUUUAGCUAGUAGACAUUGACUUUCCUUUUGACAUGUGUAUAUAUUUAUGGACAUUUGAUAUGGAAACUGGAAUUUAUCUUUGUUUAGCUAUUGAUGGUUGAUCUGAUUUAUCUGCCUUGCGCGCCUGCGGGGUCCGCCCUGCAGGUGCGCGGCGUCUGCUCGCGCCCCGGGCCCCGGGUUCGGGGCGUGACAGAUUUAUUGGUAUCAGAGCAUAGGUUAAAGAUCACUAGGGACAU